Small nucleolar RNA from Lathyrus oleraceus (garden pea), 105 nucleotides. The record is from RefSeq and is a predicted model, not a curated record. NCBI's taxonomy places the organism in Eukaryota, Viridiplantae, Streptophyta, Magnoliopsida, Fabales, Fabaceae.
AAGUUGUGAUUAGGAUAUCUUCUGAGUAAUAGUUUGAAUAUCUCCCAUGUAUUAGAUAAGGACUCAACAUCACCUUGUUAAAAAUUUGAAAUCUCAACUCUUCUU